AGGGUAUAAGAUAAAAUAAUCCCAGAAAAAUAAUUAAAAUGGCCUUAUUACAACCCAAAACCAAAUAAUAAUAUUAAUAAGAUAAAACUUAUAAAGAAAUAAAUCGGCUACUUAUUGCAAUUAAAAGAAACAGAAACAGUAGUGUGGCCAUCUCCGAGUCCCUCGCAGCUCUAAACCAUCUAAGCUUAGGGAUUACCUGCACAGUUAGAAACGGGGUGAGUUUACAAAAACUCAGUGUGUAACGCCAAUAACAAACAAAUAGUAAAUAACACGAUAUUAGUACAAUCUGGGCCAAGGCCCUAUUUAGUCUUGACAUAUACUAGGCCGAAGCUUUUCCAUAAAUCAUAUCACUGGGCCGAAGCCUUUACAUAAAUCAUAUCACUGGGCCCAAGCCUUUUCAUAAAUCAUAUCACUGGGCCGAAGCCUUUACUGUAAACGGUAUGGCCCUUAGGCCCAUUUCAAUAUCACAUGUAAUGUCAAUGGAUGUAUGCAAGCCCAUUUCAAUAUCAUAUGUAAUGUCAAUGAAUGUAUGCAAGCCCAUUUCAAUAUCACAUGUAAUGUCAAUGAAUGUAUGCAAGCCCAUUUGGGGAGACUACUCGACCCACCAUCUGCUACUCUCCACCCGUACCAACCAAGCUCUCCAUGUGGGGAAUAACUCAACCCACCCAACCAAACUCUCCACUGGCAGCAUAGCUGCUUUAUCAUAUAACUGGAGGCCUAGCCUCUUUUAAUAACUGGGGCAAAGCCCUUUUCGGUAAACAGGGGCAGAGCCCUUUUAGCACAUCCUCCAUCAAUAUAACCCAUAUCCCAUGCAAUAUGUCAUGUAUGCAGAAUGUCAUGCCCAUAUUUGAAUCAAACAAUCACAGUCAAGUCAUUCAUAUCACCAACAUAUAUUCACAAUCAAAUCCGUCAACCACACAGUCCAAGUCAGUCACUUGCCCACAAGGGCAAAACAGUCAUUUUUCAUAUUAUAAGGGUAUUUUUGUAAUUUUACCAAAAAUCAGGGUUUUCCAUGUUCAUUACAAUUGUCAAUAUUUCCGAGUGUUUAAACAAUGAUCUUUAACCCACUUAUCAAAUUUGGGCUUUUGGGCCCAAAACCCCUAAUGGGCCCUACGAAUGCUGAUUUAGCCCACUAAGCCUGCUCAACCCAAAUUUUACAACAAUAGUAACCGUGUUAACAUGAAACUUUUCCAAAUUCCAUUUUCUAUCAAUUUUACCCAAAUGGGCCCAAAAGCCCAUUUGGCCCAAUUCCUGCCCAUUGAGGCCCAACUUACCAUUAUGCACAAAAUUGAGUUCUUACCCGUUCCAUCGAUCCAAACACCGAUCUUAUCGUAUUUAUCGCAUCUAUACCCACACGCAACAUUACAAGUUCCCGAAAUGCCAGAAUUUUUGCAUUUUGGCUUCUCAGCAAAUAGUAAUCUAAGCUACUACGAGGGUUAGUACACACCUGUUAUGGGUUGAAGUUGAAACGUUUCCAUAAUCAAUCACCUAUGAUAACCACCACCUGUCACUCAAACAUAACUAAUCCAAUAUCAAUAUAUGUAAAUCCUAAGCACAUUAGUCAUACGGAACAUAAAGGCAUAUUCGUCAUUUUACCAUAUAAGGGUAUUACGGUCACUUUACCCUACAGGGGUUUAUGGUCUUUUUACCUAUUAGGGGUAUUUUAGUCAUUUCAUCCUACAAGGGUGUUUUGGUAAAUCUACAAACCAAGGGUAUUUCAGUAAUUUUGUAAACCAAUGGUAUUUCUAUAAUUUUUAGAAAGUCAAGGGUAUUUUUGUAAUUUUGUAAAUCAGGGGUAUUUUGGUAAUUUUACAAAUUGAGGGUAUUUCGGUAAUUUCACUAACCAGUGGUAUUUCGGUAAUUUUACAAACUAGGGGUAUUUUGGUAAUUCUAUCCUAUAGGGGUAUUUUAGUAAUUUCACAAUCGAGGGUAAAAUGGUAAUUUUGUAAACUGAGGGUAAAAUGGUAAUUUUGUAAAUCGAGGGUAAAACGGUAAUUCUGUAAAUCAAGGGUAAAAUGGUAAUUCUAUAAAUCGAGGGUAAAAUAGUAAUUUUGUAAAUCGAGGGUGAAACGGUAAUUCUAUAAAUCGAGGGUAAAAUGGUAAUUCUACAAAUCGAGGGCAUUUCAGUAAUUUGGUAAACUAAAGUACUCUAAACAGGGAUAACAAUACGAAUGGGCCUAAAGCCUAUUCUCAGCCCAAAUGGGCCCACACACUCGUGUGGCCCUUUUAGCCCAAAUCUAGGCACAAAUAUGAGAUUCACCUAGCCUAGUCCAAUAUUUACUACACAAUCAAACAAUUUAUCCAAUUGGGCCCGUAGGCCCAUUAGGCCCACAUAACCCCUUUCGGCCCAUCGCAGCCCGAAGUAGCCAUCCUACAGCUAGAGUAGCGAGAAAAUACACACCUGAUAGGAGACUGGAGUUAAUCCACGCUCCGAGCACUCUUAGCUGACGCCCAACCCAAACGAGCACGCCAUACAGCGAAAAGGAUCAGCCAAGAAAAGGU
RNAcentral lists this long non-coding RNA (2502 nucleotides) under Gossypium barbadense (sea-island cotton). Its description in RNAcentral is "long non-coding RNA (GBAR_LNC003175)". Lineage: Eukaryota; Viridiplantae; Streptophyta; Magnoliopsida; Malvales; Malvaceae. The record is from RNAcentral.